AGAGUUUGAUCCUGGCUCAGGACGAACGCUGGCGGCGUGCCUAAUACAUGCAAGUAGAACGCUGAAGAGAGGAGCUUGCUCUUCUUGGAUGAGUUGCGAACGGGUGAGUAACGCGUAGGUAACCUGCCUUGUAGCGGGGGAUAACUAUUGGAAACGAUAGCUAAUACCGCAUAACAAUGGAUGACCCAUGUCAUUUAUUUGAAAGGGGCAAAUGCUCCACUACAAGAUGGACCUGCGUUGUAUUAGCUAGUAGGUGAGGUAACGGCUCACCUAGGCGACGAUACAUAGCCGACCUGAGAGGGUGAUCGGCCACACUGGGACUGAGACACGGCCCAGACUCCUACGGGAGGCAGCAGUAGGGAAUCUUCGGCAAUGGGGGCAACCCUGACCGAGCAACGCCGCGUGAGUGAGGAAGGUUUUCGGAUCGUAAAGCUCUGUUGUAAGUCAAGAACGAGUGUGAGAGUGGAAAGUUCACACUGUGACGGUAGCUUACCAGAAAGGGACGGCUAACUACGUGCCGGCAGCCGCGGUAAUACGUAGGUCCCGAGCGUUGUCCGGAUUUAUUGGGCGUAAAGCGAGCGCAGGCGGUUUGAUAAGUCUGAAGUUAAAGGCUGUGGCUCAACCAUAGUUCGCUUUGGAAACUGUCAAACUUGAGUGCAGAAGGGGAGAGUGGAAUUCCAUGUGUAGCGGUGAAAUGCGUAGAUAUAUGGAGGAACACCGGUGGCGAAAGCGGCUCUCUGGUCUGUAACUGACGCUGAGGCUCGAAAGCGUGGGGAGCGAACAGGAUUAGAUACCCUGGUAGUCCACGCCGUAAACGAUGAGUGCUAGGUGUUGGAUCCUUUCCGGGAUUCAGUGCCGCAGCUAACGCAUUAAGCACUCCGCCUGGGGAGUACGACCGCAAGGUUGAAACUCAAAGGAAUUGACGGGGGCCCGCACAAGCGGUGGAGCAUGUGGUUUAAUUCGAAGCAACGCGAAGAACCUUACCAGGUCUUGACAUCCCGAUGCUAUUUCUAGAGAUAGAAAGUUACUUCGGUACAUCGGUGACAGGUGGUGCAUGGUUGUCGUCAGCUCGUGUCGUGAGAUGUUGGGUUAAGUCCCGCAACGAGCGCAACCCCUAUUGUUAGUUGCCAUCAUUCAGUUGGGCACUCUAGCGAGACUGCCGGUAAUAAACCGGAGGAAGGUGGGGAUGACGUCAAAUCAUCAUGCCCCUUAUGACCUGGGCUACACACGUGCUACAAUGGUUGGUACAACGAGUUGCGAGUCGGUGACGGCAAGCUAAUCUCUUAAAGCCAAUCUCAGUUCGGAUUGUAGGCUGCAACUCGCCUACAUGAAGUCGGAAUCGCUAGUAAUCGCGGAUCAGCACGCCGCGGUGAAUACGUUCCCGGGCCUUGUACACACCGCCCGUCACACCACGAGAGUUUGUAACACCCGAAGUCGGUGAGGUAACCUUUUGGAGCCAGCCGCCUAAGGUGGGAUAGAUGAUUGGGGUGAAGUCGUAACAAGGUA
Molecule: ribosomal RNA, 1506 nt
Filed under: metagenome
Description: bacterial SSU rRNA
Rfam family: Bacterial small subunit ribosomal RNA
Source: RNAcentral